GAGUUUGAUCGUGGCUCAGAUUGAACGCUGGCGGCAUGCCUUACACAUGCAAGUCGAACGGCAGCACGGGAGCUUGCUCCUGGUGGCGAGUGGCGAACGGGUGAGUAAUGCAUCGGAACGUAUCCUGGAGUGGGGGAUAACGUAGCGAAAGUUACGCUAAUACCGCAUAUUCUGUGAGCAGGAAAGCGGGGGACCUUCGGGCCUCGCGCUCUUGGAGCGGCCGAUGUCGGAUUAGCUAGUUGGUGAGGUAAAGGCUCACCAAGGCGACGAUCCGUAGCAGGUCUGAGAGGAUGAUCUGCCACACUGGAACUGAGACACGGUCCAGACUCCUACGGGAGGCAGCAGUGGGAAUUUUGGACAAUGGGGCAACCCUGAUCCAGCCAUGCCGCGUGAGUGAAGAAGGCCU
Molecule: ribosomal RNA, 406 nt
Filed under: bacterium enrichment culture clone ALO1_GLFRUDD03G84TJ
Lineage: Bacteria
Also listed under: 1 other name
Description: bacterial SSU rRNA
Rfam family: Bacterial small subunit ribosomal RNA
Source: RNAcentral